GUCCCCAUCGUCUAGUUGGCCUAGGACACUGCCCUUUCACGGCGGCAACAGGGGUUCGAAUCCCCUUGGGGACGCCA
This 77-nucleotide transfer RNA is filed under the name Gammaproteobacteria bacterium. RNAcentral's name for it is "tRNA-Glu". It matches the Rfam family "tRNA". From Rfam's summary of the family: Transfer RNA (tRNA) molecules are approximately 80 nucleotides in length. Their secondary structure includes four short double-helical elements and three loops (D, anti-codon, and T loops). Further hydrogen bonds mediate the characteristic L-shaped molecular structure. tRNAs have two regions of fundamental functional importance: the anti-codon, which is responsible for specific mRNA codon recognition, and the 3' end, to which the tRNAs corresponding amino acid is attached (by aminoacyl-tRNA synthetases). tRNAs cope with the degeneracy of the genetic code in two manners: having more than one tRNA (with a specific anti-codon) for a particular amino acid; and 'wobble' base-pairing, i.e. permitting non-standard base-pairing at the 3rd anti-codon position. The record is from RNAcentral. RNAcentral also lists the same sequence under 2 other names. Lineage: Bacteria; Pseudomonadati; Pseudomonadota; Gammaproteobacteria.